RNAcentral lists this long non-coding RNA (272 nucleotides) under Elaeis guineensis (African oil palm). Its description in RNAcentral is "long non-coding RNA (EGUI_LNC038743)". The record is from RNAcentral. Lineage: Eukaryota; Viridiplantae; Streptophyta; Magnoliopsida; Arecales; Arecaceae.
UCUGGCGGGGAGCCCAGUGUGAGGUGGAGCUUCAGGAGCCAGAGGAGUUCAGAGUGAGGUAGAGCUCUAGGUGGAGGUGGAUCAGGCAUGAGAUGCCAGACUUGAAAGGAUGAGAGGCGAUAUCGCAGGAUGAGAUUCUUAUUGCCGCUGGAUGAUACCCCAAGCAAGUUUUUGGUCAGAAUGGACACAGCCCAUGAUGGAGGUAGGAUUUAGUGGCUUGGCUCGACUCCAACAUUUGCCCAUCCAUGAGAUAACAGGCAUGCCCCAAGGUA